ACUCCUGCGGGAGGCAGCAGUGGGGAAUAUUGGACAAUGGGCGCAAGCCUGAUCCAGCCAUGCCGCGUGAGUGAUGAAGGCCCUAGGGUUGUAAAGCUCUUUCACCGGUGAAGAUAAUGACGGUAACCGGAGAAGAAGCCCCGGCUAACUUCGUGCCAGCAGCCGCGGUAAUACGAAGGGGGCUAGCGUUGUUCGGAUUUACUGGGCGUAAAGCGCACGUAGGCGGACUAUUAAGUCAGGGGUGAAAUCCCGGGGCUCAACCCCGGAACUGCCUUUGAUACUGGUAGUCUUGAGUUCGAGAGAGGUGAGUGGAAUUCCGAGUGUAGAGGUGAAAUUCGUAGAUAUUCGGAGGAACACCAGUGGCGAAGGCGGCUCACUGGCUCGAUACUGACGCUGAGGUGCGAAAGCGUGGGGAGCAAACAGGAUUAGAUACCCGGGUAGUCCCAUG
Molecule: ribosomal RNA, 448 nt
Filed under: uncultured organism
Description: partial 16S ribosomal RNA
Rfam family: Bacterial small subunit ribosomal RNA
Source: RNAcentral